Molecule: ribosomal RNA, 711 nt
Filed under: Enterobacter mori
Lineage: Bacteria; Pseudomonadati; Pseudomonadota; Gammaproteobacteria; Enterobacterales; Enterobacteriaceae
Description: partial 16S rRNA
Source: RNAcentral
UGAGCGUCAGUCUUUGUCCAGGGGGCCGCCUUCGCCACCGGUAUUCCUCCAGAUCUCUACGCAUUUCACCGCUACACCUGGAAUUCUACCCCCCUCUACAAGACUCUAGCCUGCCAGUUUCGAAUGCAGUUCCCAGGUUGAGCCCGGGGAUUUCACAUCCGACUUGACAGACCGCCUGCGUGCGCUUUACGCCCAGUAAUUCCGAUUAACGCUUGCACCCUCCGUAUUACCGCGGCUGCUGGCACGGAGUUAGCCGGUGCUUCUUCUGCGGGUAACGUCAAUUGCUGAGGUUAUUAACCUCAACACCUUCCUCCCCGCUGAAAGUACUUUACAACCCGAAGGCCUUCUUCAUACACGCGGCAUGGCUGCAUCAGGCUUGCGCCCAUUGUGCAAUAUUCCCCACUGCUGCCUCCCGUAGGAGUCUGGACCGUGUCUCAGUUCCAGUGUGGCUGGUCAUCCUCUCAGAUCAGCUAGGGAUCGUCGCCUAGGUGAGCCGUUACCCCACCUACUAGCUAAUCCCAUCUGGGCACAUCUGAUGGCAAGAGGCCCGAAGGUCCCCCUCUUUGGUCUUGCGACGUUAUGCGGUAUUAGCUACCGUUUCCAGUAGUUAUCCCCCUCCAUCAGGCAGUUUCCCAGACAUUACUCACCCGUCCGCCGCUCGCCGGCAAAGUAGCAAGCUACUUCCCGCUGCCGCUCGACUUGCAUGUGUUA